RNAcentral lists this ribosomal RNA (253 nucleotides) under uncultured bacterium. RNAcentral's name for it is "partial 16S ribosomal RNA". It matches the Rfam family "Bacterial small subunit ribosomal RNA", at positions 524 to 776 of the family's 1533-position model. The record is from RNAcentral.
UACGGAGGGCGCAAGCGUUGUUCGGAAUCACUGGGCGUAAAGCGCGUGUAGGCGGAUUUGCAAGUCGGGUGUGAAAUCCCGAGGCUCAACCUCGGAACUGCACUCGAUACUGCCUGGCUGGAGUCCCGGAGAGGGAGGCGGAAUUCCCGGUGUAGAGGUGAAAUUCGUAGAUAUCGGUAGCAACAUCAGCGGCUAAGGAGGCCUUCUGGACUGUGAAUGACGCUUAGACGCGAAAGUGUGGGUAGCAAACAGG